RNAcentral lists this ribosomal RNA (496 nucleotides) under uncultured bacterium. RNAcentral's name for it is "partial 16S ribosomal RNA". It matches the Rfam family "Bacterial small subunit ribosomal RNA", at positions 28 to 507 of the family's 1533-position model. The record is from RNAcentral.
GAUGAACGCUGGCGGCGUGCCUAAUACAUGCAAGUCGAGCGAACGGACGAGAAGCUUGCUUUUCUGAUGUUAGCGGCGGACGGGUGAGUAACACGUGGAUAACCUACCUAUAAGACUGGGAUAACUUCGGGAAACCGGAGCUAAUACCGGAUAAUAUUUUGAACCGCAUGGUUCAAAAGUGAAAGACGGUCUUGCUGUCACUUAUAGAUGGAUCCGCGCUGCAUUAGCUAGUUGGUAAGGUAACGGCUUACCAAGGCAACGAUGCAUAGCCGACCUGAGAGGGUGAUCGGCCACACUGGAACUGAGACACGGUCCAGACUCCUACGGAGGCAGCAGUAGGGAAUCUUCCGCAAUGGGCGAAAGCCUGACGGAGCAACGCCGCGUGAGUGAUGAAGGUCUUCGGAUCGUAAAACUCUGUUAUUAGGGAAGAACAUAUGUGUAAGUAACUGUGCACAUCUUGACGGUACCUAAUCAGAAAGCCACGGCUAACUACGUG